CGUAGGUGGAACAUUAUAUUUUCUGUAAAAGACUGAGGAUACACCUCUUUAAUCAGAAUUCACUGGUGUUCUUGGGUGUUAUAGGGGUUUAUUGAAUUCCAAAAGGAAGGGUUAAAUCUGUUGAUAUUUGGAAGACAUUCGAAAGUGAAAACAUUAUCCGAUAUAAUUCGACACUAAGGUACGAAAGUAUGGGGAUAAAUGGGAUUAGAGACCCCAGUAGUCCAUACUUAAACAAUGAGUGUCAACAUCUUUCAGUAAGUAAUUGCUGUCGGGGGUUUAAAGCUAACGCGUAGAACACCGCCUGGGGAAUGUGGCCGCAAGGUUAAACUCAAAGGAAUUGACGGUGACUUAUACAAGG
RNAcentral lists this ribosomal RNA (358 nucleotides) under Physarum straminipes. RNAcentral's name for it is "SSU rRNA". It matches the Rfam family "Bacterial small subunit ribosomal RNA", at positions 570 to 930 of the family's 1533-position model. The record is from RNAcentral. Lineage: Eukaryota; Evosea; Eumycetozoa; Physariida; Physaraceae.